RNAcentral lists this long non-coding RNA (1171 nucleotides) under Oryctolagus cuniculus (rabbit). RNAcentral describes it as "lncRNA (ENSOCUG00000037552.1)". The record is from RNAcentral. Lineage: Eukaryota; Metazoa; Chordata; Mammalia; Lagomorpha; Leporidae.
UCAAAAAUUAAGAACAAUAUAACCUUGCAUUUGUGAAGCACUUCCAGCUUUUUUUUUUUUAAUAUAUAAUGCUUUCAGGUGCAUGCCUUUACAACAGCGCUAAAACAUUUUUUUAGUGUGUAAAAUUCCAACUUUACAGCUGAACAAAGUGUGUAGCAACAGGAUUAUAAGUGAGGUAUCCAGUAACCCAGCGAGGAAGCAGCAGAAAUGAGACAGGCUGCUGUCCUUAGUCCUUUUGUAAUGAAGAAAUGCUCCAAGCUUUCAGACUUGUUGCAGGUUUUUACAAGCUUCACUUUUAAUAACCUUUCUCCAUUGCAUUUCUGACUUAUUGCCUCCCUGGCUCCCAGCACUCUUAUUUAUAUGCAGACUCAUUCCAACUGCACAUCCCAAUGUUUAUGCUGCGUUUACUGUGUUGUCUUCUAACUACAGUCCAUUAUCUGCUGAAACAAGAAGGAUGUUCACGAAUAAAACACAUCUUGCCUGUGGCUGCCAGAGGAGCAGAACCCAUCGUGGGAAGCAGAGAUGGAUCUCUGCUGCUGGGAGUAGCCUGCUGUUCCCAUGGGAGCCUCCUCUUUGGGGAAGACGUCACGCUGACAGUAGCAGAAGGUGCAGAAAGCAGAGAGCAUGUGAUGGAUUCCAGGUGCUAAAAAGAGUGGGAAUGAGCCACAGGAUAAUGUCUCAGCGACCUAACUACCUGACUUAGCGAUGGCAGCAUUUUGAAAGCCCAGCAAACAUACUAGGGUAAGUUGCCCAGAAAGAGUCAUUGUUUCUGGCCUGAUUUGUGUCCUACAAUCAAUGUUUUGAGCAUGAGCAUGCAGAGUGCAUGAUUCAAAAACUGGCCUUGUGAUUUGAAACUGGGCCCACAGACACUAGUAUUUGAUGCAGGAACAACAAACCAGCAGCAGCAGGAUAAACUGCUUCUUAGAGUUGGGAGGAAGAAAGGCAAAGCCUCCAGGCUCCCCCCUUCUAAAGGCGUGGUGUCCUCGUCCUCAGUCCUCAGACCACACUCUGAGUUCUACUCAUGCUGGGAAGUCCUCCUACCCCCUGCUUCCAGCUCCUUCACAACAAAGAAAAUGAAUCCUUGAGUUAUAGCUGGCUGAUUGGCAUCCUGUUGCUAGGAAACUGUGAAAUGAGUGUAUCAUAUUUCAUAAUAAAAAAUGUCUCUGACCCA